UAAAGUAUAGAUCUAUAGACU
Molecule: non-coding RNA, 21 nt
Filed under: Caenorhabditis elegans
Lineage: Eukaryota; Metazoa; Nematoda; Chromadorea; Rhabditida; Rhabditidae
Source: RNAcentral